RNAcentral lists this ribosomal RNA (253 nucleotides) under uncultured bacterium. RNAcentral's name for it is "partial 16S ribosomal RNA". It matches the Rfam family "Bacterial small subunit ribosomal RNA", at positions 524 to 776 of the family's 1533-position model. The record is from RNAcentral.
UACGAAGGGGGCUAGCGUUGCUCGGAAUCACUGGGCGUAAAGCGCACGUAGGCGGUCUUUUAAGUCAGGGGUGAAAUCCUGGAGCUCAACUCCAGAACUGCCUUUGAUACUGGGAGACUUGAGUCCGGGAGAGGUGAGUGGAACUGCGAGUGUAGAGGUGAAAUUCGUAGAUAUUCGCAAGAACACCAGCGGCGAAGGCGGCUCACUGGCCCGGUACUGACGCUGAGGUGCGAAAGCGUGGGGAGCAAACAGG